This 459-nucleotide ribosomal RNA is filed under the name uncultured bacterium. RNAcentral's name for it is "partial 16S ribosomal RNA". It matches the Rfam family "Bacterial small subunit ribosomal RNA", at positions 338 to 795 of the family's 1533-position model. The record is from RNAcentral.
UCUACGGGUGGCAGCAGUGAGGAAUAUUGGUCAAUGGCCGGAAGGCUGAACCAGCCAAGCCGCGUGAAGGACGAAGGUGCCAAGCAUUGUAAACUUCUUUUGUCAAGGGACAAAAUCAGGCUCGAGAGCCUGACCGCGGGUACUUGAAGAAAAAGCAUCGGCUAACUCCGUGCCAGCAGCCGCGGUAAUACGGAGGAUGUGUGCGUUAUCCGGAUUUAUUGGGUUUAAAGGGUGCGUAGGGGGACUGUUAAGUCGGCGGUAAAAGCCCGGGGCUCAACCCCGGCGAGCCGUUGAAACUGGGUGUAUUGAGAGGUCGAGAGGGAUGCGGAAUGCGCGGUGUAGCGGUGAAAUGCUUAGAUAUUGCGAAGAACUCCGAUUGCGAAGGCAGCAUACCGGCGGGGAUCUGACGCUGAGGCACGAAAGCGUGGGGAUCGAACAGGAUUAGAUACCCGUGUAGUC